UGGCGUAUUGUAUAAAUACAAUCAUAAUUUAUAUAAUGACCAUUUCUAAUAAUCUAAUGUGUGAAACUGAAAUGUUCAGUUAGUUUAAUAAAACUAAUUUAACACUUUGGAAAGCUAUUCUUAAACGUAUUUGUUGUUUGAAUUUUGAUUUGAAAAUUAAUACAUGGAUGGUACCUACGAUUAAAUAAUAGUCAAUAUCGUCUUAGUUAUUAUGCAAAUAUGAAAUGGGUAGGUAUUAGGAAGGCAAUCAUAAAAUACAUUAUAGACUCAAAUUACUAUCUUUCCGGCUAUCCGCAAAUAUUAAUAAUAUUUAUAGUUAUUUUUGCAUCGUUGAAGGUUUGAUUAAUGUUUGUUCGUAUAUAGAUUUGUAUAGGUACGAUAUAUUAUUUUAUUCUGGUGUAUCAAUAUUCGAUAACGACCAUUGGUCAAUAUAAAAGUCAUCAUUAUUUCUGAACACAAGCAAUAAUAAUAAUAAUAAUAAUAACAACAACAACGACCCAAAAACGUAUUUUAAAACAUUUAGGUAAUAAUAUUGUCUGCAACGGCUUAAAAUAAGAUGUCGUUUAAUAUAACAGCCUAUAGGUAAUAAUAUAUGGAGAGGUUUAGGUAUACGCUACGAGAUAAUAAUAAAUAAUACUAUCCCAUCCAGUAUUGUAAGCCUCAAAACGACAUUAGACACUAUAUAUUCGCCACGGUACCCCCAGUGAAGAAGAAGUUAAAUGGGAAGGAAGAAAAAAAAAAUUAGAUGAAAAUGAAUAGAAAAAAAUGACAUUAAAUCUCGCUAAUCUCGUUGUAGGUAGUGUAGACGUGUAGUAUAAUAGUUGCCGUAUUGUCGCCGUUUAAUAAUUGCAGUACGUGCGUCGCGAAACAAUAGAGGUUAGAUCGCGUAGCAUAUGGAUUAUAAUAAUAAUAAUAAUAAUAAUAAUAAUAAUAAUAAUAAUAAUAAUAAUAAUAUACGCUGCAGAUGUUUAUUAUAGUGAACUGUGGAAAUUGUCACGUACACUUCAAAAGGCAAUACUCGGGGGCGCAUAAUGUACGUCGAUGCGUAUGCGCGUGUAGUACCUACGUAUUAUUAAUGUGCGAUAAUGUCGACUUUAUUAAUAUGGCCGUCGCCGUGGUAAAUGGUUCGAAACAUUUUGCAGCAGUCGGGCGAGGACAUUUUGAACCCUGUAGUCACUAUUGUGAACUUGUAUGCCAAUAACCGCGUAACUGCAGUGUUUAUUUGAUCCGAAAUAAUAAUAAUCCAAAUGAUUUUCCGGGUUCUCUUAUUCAGACAUCAAAAUUGGAUUUACCAUUUAUAAGAGGACAAAUGAAAAAUGAAUGGCCAUCCGAAAGUUCUUUUGUGAAUACACAGGAAUUGAGUUAUCUCCAAAAUUUAAAUUUCAAAAUUUCCAAAAUACGUAAGUACAACGUUCAGUUAAAUAUUUUUUCUUUGGAUAAAAUCGUUGAGGGUCUAAAACUAAACUCGUAAGUUAAUUUGUCUUAUGUCAUGCUCUUUGAAUCCAACUAUUCUACACACACACGUUGACGACAACCAGUCAUACUUGUUAUAUGACCGUUCAAAAAUGAUAUUUAUUUCCAAGAUAGGAUUGUCUGGGGGGAAAUAGUGGUAGAAAAUGUUCUGUAUUAACUGAUGGUCUCUGUCAAAUACACUCCAUUUCCUUUUCAAAGGUCAAAAGAAGACAACAUUAACAGCUGACCACAAAACAAAUACCAGAUAUUUCACAAGCAGGCGAUUUGUUUAUACAAAAGAGCUCAUUGUCGUUUUGCAUACUGAGUUCUGACAUAGCCCUCAUGGGGUGGAUUUAAAUGCAAAAGCGGCUGUCGAUGAUGCAUUCUGAUGGAAUCAUAAAAAUAAUUCGGAAGAACGCAAAAAACACAAUACAUAAUAUACCGAUAGGCAAUAGGUACAGUUGUUUUGAAUUCCAACCACCGCUAGGUUAGUAUAUAAUGCAAUAUGUAUUCAGAUAAUAAUUCACUGCCCACUGGAUUAUGACCAGAAGUUAGAAAAAAACACAUCCAAAACAAAAAUGUUACAUCAAAUAUUAUAAACUAUGAUAACAUGUUUACCCUAAAAAACGUACGAGAAUAUACUAUUGUAAUACUAUACACGUAUAUUACUUUCUUAAUAAUUAGUAAUUAAAAUUAUAUUAGUGAUAUUUUGUAAACAAUAAUGUACACCAUAAUAAAGGUAGGUACCUAUACCACCUACCUGCUUACUGUGUUAUUUGAUUUCAAUAUUUAAACAAUCUCAUUAUAAUUAUAAGUUAAGAAUAUAAUUUUAAAUAAUUAAUAAAUUAAUACAUUUCUGUUUUAAUUUUUAUAAAAUGUAUAGUAUUUUUCCUACACACUAGUCCAUAAUUGUUGAUACAUAUAAUAAGCGUAAGUGCCUAACACUGUAACAUCUGCUGUAACCAUACAGCGGGUGAUUCAUCUAACGCAAGACAAAUAUUAUUAAUUUAAAAACUAUAAACGUUUUUUUCAAAGCUUAUACCGAGCAGAAUAUUUGUUGGAGUAUUUUUAUAUAAUAUAUGAAUCGAAUAUUAGACGAGUAUUUUAGGAUUUCCACGUAUUUAAAGUUUAGAUUAGCGAAGUAGAGUGGUACAGGGGUACCCUUUAAAAUGUUAGUAGGUACACUACUUUGCUUAUCUAAAUUUUAAAUAUUUAUGUGCAUAAUAAACUACUUAUCUAAAACUUGAUUUUUAUGGAUCAAAAUACUCCGAAUAAUAUUCUGUUUCGGAAUAUGAAAUUCAAAAUAUAUGAUAAUAUCAUUUAAAAGAGAAAAAAAACUUUAAAAAUGAUGUUGAUAAAGAAAGUAAAAAGUAUCAAUUUUUCCAAAAAUGUUGUUUUGUAAUGACUUAAAAUAAUGUAAAAUAAAUAUAUUCAAACACGUUAUCGUUUGCUGAAGUAAUGAGUGUCUUACGUUAAUGGAUAACUCUGCAUAAAAAGAAAAAUCUGUGAGUUUGAUUCAUAAUUAUAGCUUUUUUCAAUCAAGUGUUGUUUAUUUGAUUCAUACAAAUUUGAUAACAUAGUAUUUAUAAAACUUAUUUUGGUAAUAAAUUUGAAAAAUGUAUUGUUCUAGAAUAGUUAAAUUAGAACACUUUUGAUGUAUCUAUCUAAUUAGAUACGGUUAAACGAUAUUUAUUUGUAUGUUAAGUAUACAGAAGUACAGAACAAUAUUCUGGGAAAUAUUAUUGUUAAUGAUUAGGUGUAUAGUAAACGACAGGUGAUGAGGAAUAUAAGUGACUUAAAAAUACUUUGAGUUAUAUAAUUAUAUCAACUUCGACAACGUUUUCAACUGAUCUAGGAUACAUAUCAUUAAGUACUUGAACCAAUCGGUUAUUUUAGAUAUAUAUAUAUAUAUCAGUAAUAACGGAAGUGAAUCGAACUGUAAACUACCGUUAUGAGUUCGUAAAGUCAUUUCUGUUGCGAAACACAUGGUUUCACUAGAAGGUUAACGAUCGAGGAAUUUAAUCAAAUGUUUAGAACUACUUCUUUGAAAGAUGUUGGAUUUAUCUCUUGGGUACAAUAGCUAUAAUAUAUCGAUAUACACAUAGAUUGGCAGAAUAACAGUUAAUUUAAAGCAAGUGUGUCAUAGAGAAAAAAAGUGGACACACUGCAAAAAUUAAUUUAAUCAAGCAAUCUAAAUUGUGUCGAGCGCAUAAAUAAUGUCUUACAAAGGUGCAGAGCCAUAUUAAUAUUACUCCUUUAUCGUUUUGCACAUACAUAAUGCACAAAAGAGUAUUCUACAUUCUUUGGAACGGGCAAUCUCAUCGCUGUUGGUAGAUUAUAAUAUGGGUUAUUUUAUAGACAAUUUUUUUUCUUAUUCGUUAUAAAUUGUCUUAGUUUUAAUAUUUCAAAUUUUAGAAGUACAAUUAAUGUAGAAGCCUUUAA
RNAcentral lists this long non-coding RNA (3894 nucleotides) under Acyrthosiphon pisum (pea aphid). RNAcentral describes it as "uncharacterized LOC115033828, transcript variant X1". Lineage: Eukaryota; Metazoa; Arthropoda; Insecta; Hemiptera; Aphididae. The record is from RNAcentral.